Molecule: ribosomal RNA, 429 nt
Filed under: Acidobacteriota bacterium
Lineage: Bacteria; Pseudomonadati; Acidobacteriota
Description: Acidobacteria bacterium partial 16S ribosomal RNA
Rfam family: Bacterial small subunit ribosomal RNA
Source: RNAcentral
UGGGGAAUUUUGGACAAUGGGGGAAACCCUGAUCCAGCCAUCCCACGUGUGCGAUGAAGGCCUUCGGGUUGUAAAGCACUUUUGGCAGGAAAGAAACGUCAUGGGUUAAUACCCCGUGAAACUGACGGUACCGGCAGAAUAAGCACCGGCUAACUACGUGCCAGCAGCCGCGGUAAUACGUAGGGUGCAAGCGUUAAUCGGAAUUACUGGGCGUAAAGCGUGCGCAGGCGGUUCGGAAAGAAAGAUGUGAAAUCCCAGAGCUCAACUUUGGAACUGCAUUUUUAACUACCGGGCUAGAGUGUGUCAGAGGGAGGUGGAAUUCCGCGUGUAGCAGUGAAAUGCGUAGAUAUGCGGAGGAACACCGAUGGCGAAGGCAGCCUCCUGGGAUAACACUGACGCUCAUGCACGAAAGCGUGGGGAGCAAACAGG